RNA transcript from Pyrus x bretschneideri (Chinese white pear), 551 nucleotides. It is a transcript of the gene named hydrophobic protein RCI2B-like, with no coding region annotated. Lineage: Eukaryota; Viridiplantae; Streptophyta; Magnoliopsida; Rosales; Rosaceae. The record is from RefSeq and is a predicted model, not a curated record. The transcript is spliced from 4 exons.
CUGUAAAAGCAGUCGGAUACUUCCUAGUUCUUGUUGUAUAACCUCUCUCUACCCCUUGUAGUUUUCUGUCUCUUAUCAAACUUGAUAAGUAUGGGUACAGCAACCUUCAUCGACAUAAUCAUCGCCAUCCUCUUGCCACCUCUUGGUGUCUUCCUCAAGUAUGAGUGUCGUGCGGAAUUUUGGAUCUGUUUGGUGCUGACACUGUUUGGUUACCUCCCUGGUAUUAUAUAUGCCAUCUAUAUCCUCACCAAGUGAUCCUUUCAAUUUAUGUGAUGAAGGAUGUGUUCGAAGGGCAGCUAUGUCUCUUUGUUUAGGUAUCAAGGGUUUGUUUUCAACCGUUUGAUGGAUUGUACUUAUCUGGUGUAGCCAAAUGGAUGGUUGACACUUCAUUUAUGUACAAAAUACAACGAGGAGCACUGGCAGCACUGGGUUAUUGGGGUGGUGCGUAUACAUUGCCCUCGGUGUAUCUCCGCUACUAUUACAUGUGACAUCUUUCAAACAAUUAACUUAAUGAAUAAAUUAUAAACUAUAGUGGAGUAAAAAUUACGUGA